AAAUAAAACUAGAGAACAAAUGGCACGGACUGCAGAGAGUAAGAUUCAGUCAAAACUAAUUCAGUUGGACCAUAACAAAUACAUCAGUGCAGAAAAAUAUAGAACAUGCCGUGGGAGAUGAAGCUGCUGCUCCUACUACUCUGGCCGCUGCAGCUUGCCGUUCCCUCUCCAAGACAACCAACUAAAAAGUCCGUUUCGAAAAAAAAACAACUAAAAAAUCAUAGGGGAGAAGCAAGAUCAGCAGAAAAAGAGGCAAGACCUCUGGCUCCUGCAGCUUGUCGUUCCCUCUCCAACACAUGACCUAUCCACGGAACACCAUUCCUGUGAUUAUCCACAAUCCGUUUCAUUGCUUGUCUCAUCUCAUGCUCUCAACAACCAACACCAAAAUAGAAUUUAACCAUGCAUUAACCACUAACACUUGUAGGGAGCUCCAGUAAAGAAGGGAGGAGAUUCAGAAAUUGAUUAAGGGAAAGCAAACAACUUUCCAAAGUCUAAUGAACUUCCAAAAUCACAUCAAACAACAAAGAGUUCAAGCAUUUGUUCAGAACGAUCAGAAACCUAUGGAUCAAUUGAAGAUUCAGAGCAAAAGCUUAAAUUUAGAGCUCCAAACCUAUGAAAGCAAGAUGCUAAGCUAGCAAAAAAAUCAGGCUCAAGUUAUGUUUGGUGCCACCUCCAUCUUGAAUUUUCUCAUGCGUGGCCUUGUCUUCCUCCUCACGACCCCAGUUUUGCGCAUGGCGAGCAUAAGGCAGCACCGUAAUGAUUCUUGGUGAAGCAUGGCGACCUCUAGGCAGAAGCUUGGGACACCAGACCACAUCUACGGCUAGUCACCUGCAUCAUCAAAUCCAUAAUGCAUCACACAGGAAACCAAACAAAAAAACAUUGGGACACCAGAGCAGGCCUGGAUCAGGGAGCAGGCGAGGGGGAAAUUCAGAACAACAACAUUACAGUCAGAGGGCCAUAGUUAGGAACACAAAAGUUUAGAUAUACAUCAGCAGACAAACUAGAAAGAAUUGGAUUCGUUCAACGUCCUGGUAAGUAAUCUAGAAAGAAUUGGAGUAGUAGUAAUCUGGCUACUACUACUUUUGCAGCUUGACGUCCUAUCCAGCCCGAGCAACCACAAAAUCACACGCCCACCAAUAAUCAAAGGGAAGAAGCAAGAAGUUCGAGCACAAAAAAACAUGCCUUUUCUCAAUGCCGCCAAGUUGGAUCGCGGAGUAGCUGUGGACCAGGAGGAGGCCGUGAGAGGCCAGCAGUAAGCAGUACAGGUCGUGCCCACCGUCGACCCUCCCGGGUAAGCCCGCGAUAGGCCCCGCGUCUCCCGCGAGUGGGACGAGACGGCCACAGCGUCCAGCACUACGGCAGCCCGGGGCCCUGGUCUCCCCGGAUCAAGCUCGGCGAGGUUGAUGGCGAUAUCGACGUGCCCCGUCUCCCCGGAUCUCGCCGGUAUUUGUGCACCAGAAGAGGGAGGGAGCACGUUGGGUAGCAUGAUGAGGGAUGGGGAGCACCGAGAUGAGGGUGGGAGAGGGUUGGGGCGGUGCGACUUGCCGUGAUGGUAGAGGUGGCUCGUUGUGGAGGGGAAGGGUGAGAGGGUUGGGGCGGCGGGAUCUGGAUGGGGUGGAGAACGAGCGAGAGAGAGCGACGGGGUGGAUAAACGAGCGAGAGAGAAAGAUUUUUUUUGAGACAAAGCGAGAGAGAACAUGUACAUGGGCCGCGACGGUUCUCCAGAACCUCACCUCCGGCUGCAAUCACG
Molecule: long non-coding RNA, 1750 nt
Filed under: Triticum aestivum (bread wheat)
Lineage: Eukaryota; Viridiplantae; Streptophyta; Magnoliopsida; Poales; Poaceae
Description: long non-coding RNA (TAES_LNC018827)
Source: RNAcentral